Molecule: ribosomal RNA, 441 nt
Filed under: uncultured bacterium
Lineage: Bacteria
Description: partial 16S ribosomal RNA
Rfam family: Bacterial small subunit ribosomal RNA
Source: RNAcentral
CCUACGGGAGGCAGCAGUGGGGGAUAUUGCACAAUGGGGGAAACCCUGAUGCAGCGACGCCGCGUGAGUGAAGAAGUAUUUCGGUAUGUAAAGCUCUAUCAGCAGGGACGAGACAGAACGGUACCUAAAUAGGAAGCCCCGGCUAACUACGUGCCAGCAGCCGCGGUAAUACGUAGGGGGCAAGCGUUAUCCGGAAUCAUUGGGGGUAACGGGAGCGUAGACGGCGGAGCAAGCCUGAAGUGAAAGGCCGGGGCCCACCCCCCGGACUGCUUUGGAAACUGUAGGGCUGGAGUGCAGGAGAGGUAAGUGGAAUUCCUAGUGUAGCGGUGAAAUGCGUAGAUAUUAGGAGGAACACCAGUGGCGAAGGCGGCUUACUGGACUGUAACUGACGUUGAGGCUCGAAAGCGUGGGUAGCAAACAGGAUUAGAUACCCUUGUAGUC